Non-coding RNA from Capsicum annuum, 107 nucleotides. The record is from Rfam. Lineage: Eukaryota; Viridiplantae; Streptophyta; Magnoliopsida; Solanales; Solanaceae.
UAUUGAUGGUGCGGGUAGUCCCUGAGUAAAGAUUUAUACCUCUCCCAAGCAUGAUAUAAUUUUUCAUCCAACUUCUACUUAAAAAUCAGUAUCUCACUUCUCAACCU